UACGGAGGGGGCUAGCGUUGUUCGGAAUUACUGGGCGUAAAGCGCACGUAGGCGGCUUUGUAAGUUAGAGGUGAAAGCCCGGAGCUCAACUCCGGAACUGCCUUUAAGACUGCAUCGCUUGAACGUCGGAGAGGUAAGUGGAAUUCCGAGUGUAGAGGUGAAAUUCGUAGAUAUUCGGAAGAACACCAGUGGCGAAGGCGACUACUG
This 207-nucleotide ribosomal RNA is filed under the name uncultured bacterium. Its description in RNAcentral is "partial 16S ribosomal RNA". It matches the Rfam family "Bacterial small subunit ribosomal RNA", at positions 524 to 731 of the family's 1533-position model. The record is from RNAcentral.